This 1394-nucleotide ribosomal RNA is filed under the name uncultured bacterium. RNAcentral's name for it is "partial 16S ribosomal RNA". It matches the Rfam family "Bacterial small subunit ribosomal RNA". The record is from RNAcentral.
GAAUUCGCCCUUAGAGUUUGAUCCUGGCUCAGGACGAACGCUGGCGGCGUGCCUAACACAUGCAAGUUGAGCGGAGAUAUAUGGAGCUUGCUUUAUAUAACUUAGCAGCGAACGGGUGAGUAACACGUAGAUAAUCUAUCCUAUACUGGGGGAUAGCCCGAUGAAAGUUGGAUUAAUACCGCAUAUAGCUAUAUAGUUGCAUGAUUAUGUAGUGAAAGAUUUAUUGGUAUAGGAGGAGUCUGCGGCACAUUAGCUAGUAGGUGAGGUAAAGGCUUACCUAGGCGACGAUGUGUAGCCGGUCUGAGAGGAUGAACGGCCACAAUGGAACUGAGACACGGUCCAUACUCCUACGGGAGGCAGCAGUGGGGAAUAUUGCACAAUGGGGGAAACCCUGAUGCAGCAACGCCGCGUGAGUGAAGAAGGUUUUCGGAUUGUAAAGCUCUGUUAGCAGGGAAGAGGAAGGACGGUACCUGCAGAGGAAGCCACGGCUAACUACGUGCCAGCAGCCGCGGUAAUACGUAGGUGGCAAGCGUUGUUCGGAAUAACUGGGCGUAAAGGAUGCGUAGGCGGUUAAACAAGUUAUAUGUUAAAUAUAUAGGCUUAACCUGUAGAAAGCAUAUAAAACUGUUUAACUAGAGUGCAGGAGAGGUAAGUGGAAUUCCUAGUGUAGCGGUGAAAUGCGUAGAGAUUAGGAAGAACACCAGUGGCGAAGGCGACUUACUGGACUGUAACUGACGCUGAGGCAUGAGAGCAUGGGGAGCAAACAGGAUUAGAUACCCUGGUAGUCCAUGCUGUAAACGAUGGGUACUAGGGGUGGGGUUGUGAAUAACAAUUUCGUGCCGUCGCAAACGCAAUAAGUACUCCGCCUGAGGAGUACGAUCGCAAGAUUAAAACUCAAAGGAAUUGACGGGGACCCGCACAAGCAGCAGAGCAUGUGGUUUAAUUCGAAGCAACGCGAAGAACCUUUCCAAGCCUUGACAUCUUCCUGACAGCAUAUGUAAUGUAUGUUCCCUUCGGGGCAGGAAAGACAGGUGGUGCAUGGUUGUCGUCAGCUCGUGUCGUGAGAUGUUGGGUUAAGUCCCGCAACGAGCGCAACCCCUGUUCCCAGUAGCCAGCGCGCAGAGGCGGGCACUCUGGGGAGACUGCCGGGGACAACCCGGAGGAAGGCGGGGACGACGUCAAAUCAUCAUGCCCCUUAUGGCUUGGGCUACACACGUGCUACAAUGGCGUCGACAAAGGGAAGCGAAGCGGUGACGCGGAGCAAAUCCCAAAAACGGCGCCCCAGUUCGGAUUGUAGUCUGCAACCCGACUACAUGAAGCCGGAAUCGCUAGUAAUCGCGAAUCAGAAUGUCGCGGUGAAUACGUAGGCCGGGUCUUGCACACACCGCCCGUCA